UACGGAGGGAGCUAGCGUUGUUCGGAAAUACUGGGCGUAAAGCGCACGUAGGCGGCGCAGCAAGUCAGGGGUGAAAUCCCGGGGCUCAACCCCGGAACUGCCCUUGAAACUGCAGUGCUAGAAUUCUGGAGAGGCGAGUGGAAUUCCGAGUGUAGAGGUGAAAUUCGUAGAUAUUGGGAAGAACACCGGUGGCGAAGGCGGCUCACUGGCCAGUUUCUGACGCUGCAGCGCGAAAGCGUGGGGAUCAAACAGG
This 253-nucleotide ribosomal RNA is filed under the name uncultured bacterium. RNAcentral describes it as "partial 16S ribosomal RNA". It matches the Rfam family "Bacterial small subunit ribosomal RNA", at positions 524 to 776 of the family's 1533-position model. The record is from RNAcentral.